AUGAGAAAGUUGUGAAGUUGUUUUGUUGUUGCGCAACCCCCUGCUCCCCCUUUGCCAAAAAAAACAAAAAGGUAAUAAAAAAUUAUCAUAUAAGGGCAAUCUAUCCUUUUAAUGAUUUCUGCAAAAUUCAGUUGAUUGUGCAAGGGUUGUAUAGCCAGCUGAGGUCGUUAAAAACUCUCUUUUGUUGUUGCAGAUAGAUCUUGACCUGAUAAACAAUUUUACCACAUGUCAGAUUUGCUCUAAAUGCUUUGGUUUUUGAGUGAUAAGCCAAAAACUGCAUUUUACCCCUAUGUUCUAUUUUUAGCCAUGGCGGCCAUCUUGGUUGGUUGGCCGGGUCAUC
Molecule: long non-coding RNA, 340 nt
Filed under: Mytilus galloprovincialis (Mediterranean mussel)
Lineage: Eukaryota; Metazoa; Mollusca; Bivalvia; Mytilida; Mytilidae
Source: RNAcentral